AGGUUGUUACAACCGCCUCUAGCCCCGCCUCGGCCGCAGCUUGGGGCAUUAAUACCAGGGGGAGCCCUUGUUGUCUUGACCCCCCAUCUAUACCGAGUCCACGACCAGAUCGAGCUAAUUCGGGCACAAACCCGUCGAGGAGAGAGAGAGUGAGUGAGUGAGUCAUGCGUCGCCGGGAGUGCCCUAGACCGUGUAUUGGUUGUUCAAGCGGGGGAGCCGCACAGGAACUCCCACGUCGCAUUGGACAAGCUAUUCGUGGCAUCAUCAGUCGAGGGACGGUGAUCGAGCGGUGGGAUUUCUCGCCGGGCAGUGGUGGUUGGCGCGGGGUUCCCCUCAUUGGAGGCAGUAGAGUCUACGCAUCCGAUCUAGGUGAGGACUCCUCCCUCUAAUUCGUUACGGCCUCCUCCAUGAAUAGUGCGCAUCUAGCGAAUGUUAGGAAGCGAGGAUGAUCACUGGGGCAUCGCUAGUAAUGUCGCAGUUGUGGGUGAAAGGGCCGGCACUGCUUGGCCUACCGCGUAGGAAGAAGAUGAAAUCGUGGCCGUCGAUUUCCUCGCAGACGUGCCUGAUCAGGGCUCGAAUUAGAGAUGGCCAAACGGGCCGCCCGGCCCGGCCCGGCCCGGGCCCGGUGAAGCCCGGCCAAAAACCGGGCCGGGCCUGCUGUGCCAUCGUGCUCAAGUUUCUGUCCAAGCCGGCCCGCAGCGGGCCUAAACGGGCCGGGCCGGCCCGUUUAGCACGAAAAAAACGGGCCGAAAACGUGCUAAACGGGCCGGUAAGCACGUUUUAGUGUAAAAAAACCGGGCUUAACGGGCUUAGAGGUAAACGGGUCGUGCCGGGCUAGCCUGCCGUGCCUAGUUUCCUGUCCAAGCCCGCCCGCUUAUUCUACCGUGCCGGGUUCGGACCGGGCCCAAAAACCGGGCUUCGUGCCGGGCUCACGGGCCUCGUGCUUUUUGGCCAUCUAUAGCUCGAAUACCCUUCGAGUAAAUAGAUCUGGGCCUCGUGUCUGAAAUUGUGUGGGCUAAAUUAGAUCCUGGUCUUUUAAAUCUGGAGCGUAGACGAUUGGUCCAACUGUCCUUGAUGCUAGAUACCCCUUCGCAUGGCAUAUUUAGUAAAGAGCCCCUCAGCUUUUCCGAAACUAACCCACCAUCCCUAACAGUUGUAAAACCAUUGCACCUAAGUCCAAACUCUUCCGAAAUAGACCUUGACCUUGUAAUAAAUAAUACACGCAGUCCAUUUUAAUUCAUAAUAAAUGAAUAAAGCCCUGGGAAUUGAUUUUUGGAAUAAAAACAAUUCCUAGAACUUUGAAAAUCCAUAACUUGCUCAUUUUUUCUCCAAUUUGAUCCAUUCAAAUUGUGUUAACUUCGUAAUAAUGUUGCCUACAUCUCCGUAACAUUACUUUAUCAAAUAACAUGGUUUCAAAAAUAAAUAUUCAUUUAACCUAUGUUUAGUGGAUUAACCCUUCUAAACAAAGUUAAUAUAUCCAUAAUUAUAGUGUGACUAAAAUAUAACCUCUAUGCAAAUUAUAAACUAGAUUAAAGAUAAAUUAGUUAUUUAUUUGUCAUAACCUUCCGACUUAUAUUAAUCAAUUAAGAUUAAAAGAUUUACUAUUUAACCAUCUAAAACUUGAGAAUAUUAUAUCUUUUAACCGUAACUCCGAUUUUAGUCGUUCUCGAACCCACGACCUCGUAGCAACGUGUAGAUUAUUAUUAUUGCAUAUUGUGCUUGUGUUUGUUGUGAUGUUAAUUUUGCCUAUACCAUGUUUGUUUGUAUUGCUACGUUUAGCAGUGAGGUCACGAGUCACCUGAAGAUCAUCCUGGUACCUGGAAUCUCAAGUCCAGGCAAGUUGUGCCCUUGACCACUUUUAUUGUCCAAUAAUGUUCUUUAUUAUCACUUAUUCAUGCAUAGGCUUAAUUUUGAUGGGACCUAAUAGGUCACCCUAGUUUGGUUAUCUUGUUACCUUGUUUACCCCUGAACGAUUUGGGUAGUUUUGCUAUUGCUCUAUAUGGUUUUGGGUUUAAUAUUACAUCAUGUUCAUGUUCCAAUUAUACUAUUAUUUUAUUUAUUGUUCAUGACAAGAUCAUUAUAUUAAUUAGAACAUGGAGCUUAACUUGAGAAACACGUGCCACCACAAGGGUGGAAUGAGAUGCCUUGGCUGACUAACUAGGAAAGCUAGUGGAGGACUACCUUACCCGAUAUGGACAAGGGCAGUAGGGGAGUAGGCGUGUAGGGAGGUUCCCGGGUUGAUUUUGCUGCGAUGGCGAUCAGACGAGGGAUUCCUUUAUUGCUCUUCCUAGAACUGUAGCGGGUUUUCUAAAGCUAAUGGAACUUUGUAAAGGCCUCAUAGUGGAUCCCCAGCCAUUCACCUCGGUAGUUUUUAAGGGUCUAGCUAACCAUGGCGACAUGGGAUACAUGACUUGUGGGUACAGGGUACAACCUCUGCAGAGUGUAAAACUGGUAUACUAGUCAUGCUCGCGGUCAUGAGCAGCUCAGGACUCUCGCAUGAUUAAAUUAUGGAACUAAAUUCAAUUUGUCAGUUGCAUUGCAUGGGAUUUUUUUAUUAAUUUUGUUCUAUUAUUAUUAUGGUUUGGUAUUUACUUACAUUUAGUAUCUGCUAAUAAAAUUUGACCAACUUAUUAAAAGCAAUGCUCAGCUUUAACCCCUAUUAUUGAUCAGCCUUACACAUCACAUGAACUCUCACCUUUGGUGAGUUCAUGCACAUUAUUCCCCACAACUUGUUGAGCGAUGAAUAUAUGUGAGCUCACCCUUGCUGUCUCACACCCCCCACACACACAGGUCAAGAACAGGUACCACAGGAUGAGGCGCAUGGAGGAUACUGUGAUGUUUUCAUGAGAGGUCUAGGUCGUCGUCUUCCAGUUAACAUUGGGUUGCUGGAUCAUUGUCUCCUGACGAUGUAAUUAUUUAUUUAUUUUGUACAGAACUCCUAUUAUAAAGUAAAGUUGUGACAUUUGUUUAUGUACCAUGAUUGAUCAUAUGUGUGAGACUUGGUCUCAGCACACCUGGUGAUUAUGUUCGCACCUGGGUCCCUAAAACCCGGGUGUGACAUUAGCUCAACUAUUGCUUGCCACAUGGCGUCGAGCAUGUAACCACGAAACAUGAUAGGGAUAAUUCUCUCCAUUAAUAUAUGGAAGUCAUGGCUCUUUAACCCAGUUAGUUUUCCUGUUUUCAAAUUCACAACUCUUUUCAAGCCCAUAGCAUAACCAUCGGGAAAUUUAAUUUUUUUCAUCCAUCUCAUUACCUCGAUCUUGUCCUUAGAGGUAAGACAGAACAAGGCAUGUGGCGGCUUGCUGUUGUCAUUGAGCACUUGGGUUGGUCGGUCAUAAAGCAUUGCUAGUUCUCUUCGAGUUUUCAGAUUCUCCUUUGUUUUUUCAAAAUUCAUGCAGGUGUGUAUGAGGGCUUCAGCAACAUUACUUUCUUGGUGCAUGACAUCAAUGUUGUGCAUAAGAAUCAAUGACGGCAUAUAAGGGAGCUCCCACAGACCACAUAUAUGUGUCCAGUUGUGGUCCAUUCUGAAUCCUUGGUACUUGUCCCCCUUUUCAUUUAGCACAAGGUUGUUCAACUAAGCAUAUAUUAUUGUUGUGUUUAAACGUUUAGGCAGUCCUUUGGUGACCACGGUGUUCUUUAUAAAGUUUUUUUAUCGCUCCUAAAGGGGUGUUUCCUGGGCAACCAGCGUCGAUGGCAAUCGAAGUAAGUGAUCUUUCCACCAUGAGCAAGACGGAAGCAAUCUGUAUCUGAACCGCAAUAUGGACAUGUCAAUCUAUCAUGUGUACUCCAACUGGCAAAAAUAGCAUACGCCAUGAAGCCAUGCACCGACCACAAAUACGCAACUCGAAGUUUGAAUAUCUGUUUUUAAAAACAUUGUAUGCUUCGACUGCUUUUCAAAGAUCCUUCAACUCUUUAAUCAAGGAUUUUAACAUGACAUUGAGUUUCUUUCCAGGAUGGUUUGGGCUAGGUAUGAUUAAGCAAAGAAAUAUAAACUCAUACUUCAUACAAAGAGAAGGUGGAAGGUUGUAUGGAAUAACAAAGAUGGACCAACAUGGGUAUGGUGAUGUUAUUUGACCAAAAUGUAAUACCCAAAUCAUAGUAAAAAAAGGAGUUAGAGUAUUUGAUGUUUAUGGAUUUUUUCCUUUCUAUGUGACACAUGCAUAUAUAUAUACACAUAAAAGUUAAUACAUUCUUUAGUAACUAGAAAGAAUAUAUAUAAUAGUGAAAAUACUUCUUCAUGUUGGUAUUUUAUUUGUGCAUAUAAUCUAAGUGUGAAACUCACAACAAAAUUUGAAUUCAAAUUUGAGAUCUAAAAAUAAAAAAUAAAAGAAAACUGAAAAGAAAAAGAAAAAGAAAAAAGAAAACGCGCGCUUGGGCCAAAUUGGCCACAUCGGCCCACUCCAACCCCGCAGCAAGCUUACCCUCGGCCUAGGCAUGGCUGUGUCUGGUAGACCUAUGGGACCCACCCGUCAAUGGCGUCGUGCGCGUUCUCCUCCCCACUCAAGCUAUUGGCACCGACAUCUGGGGACCACUUUGUCAGCCUCCUCUUCUAUUCCUCCUCGCUGAGUCAUGGGCCUGUGUGACCAGCUACCUCCGCCCUCUUACCUCGGGGACCCACCUGUCAUUGCACUCGUUCACCUAAAAAUCUGGUGCAGCCAAUUACCUCCCGAGGAACCAUCCUCCAUCCCUGACCUCGCCCUCUUGAGUCUGCGUCUGCCGCAUUAUUAGAGUCCCCGUUUCCCCCUCUCCUCAUAGGUGACCAGAGAGCCAAGUUGCGACCUGAAAAUCCGAGAGCGAGAGAGAGAGUUGGGAGCGGCGCUGUGACCAAUACUUGUGGAAUGCGCCGUCGAAACUUUACUGCAGGGGGCAGUUGGGAUCACCCGAACACACCGCUUGCGGUAGAACCCUCCUAGGGCAGGAUCGAGGUCGGUGCAACGUUGAAUUUCUCGCCGGAGGUCAAAGCAGGGGCAGAUCCACCCUCUCCCAUGGGCGCCUAACUCUGUGUGUCUAAACGCAGGUGAAUCACCAUCCUCGGGUUCGGUUCGUCAUCCACAAUAAUUUUGGGGGUUUGUGGGGGAAUUUGGGCGUUGGGGCUUCGACGGGUCGCGUGCGACAAUGGCGCCGCCAUGGUUAUGGGUGGCCCGUCGUCGCCAGCAACGACUCAUGCUGGGUUGUCGUGCACCAUUGAUUGUCUAGGUGACGGAUGAGAUUAGGUGAUGCGUAUUGUUUCGGGUAGAUCCCGUGUAGACCGUGCGAUCUAGAUCUGACGUGCAGGGAUGAAACGCGUUACUUUAAAUCCAUAGCGUUGGUCACGGAUCCGAUCGUUGUCCUCGCGUAUCGCUUCAUUGAGAGCGUGGUUCUAAUCUGGAGCGGUUAUCGAUUGGGCGUCUUAGAACAAAUGAUACCCUUUCGUUCAGACAUAUUAACAAAAGAGACCCUACGCUUGCACAAAAUUAACUUGCCAUCCACGGUUGUUUUAGAAUCAUUACCAACAAGUCCUAGUUCUUAUAAACCGACCCCUAGAUUUUCUAGGAAUAGUGGCCGCCACCCAAUACUUUGAGAAAGCAGUAAAUAAAUUAAAGAAAUUGAAUUUUAGCAUAAAAUCUAUUCACCAACAUUAGGAAAUUCAUAACUUCUUUAAGUUAGCUCCAAAUUGAUACAUUCCAGUUGCAUUAGACUCAUAUUAAUAUUGUCUAUCAGUUCGUAACCUAAUUUUACCAUGUAACAUAGAGAUUAACUCAAGCACUCAUUUUGUUUUAUGUUUAGCACCUAAAUAUUCAGAAAAUCAUAACUCUUAAACCGUAACUCCGAAUUUAGUGGUUCUCGAACCUAGAAUCUCGUUAUGAUACGUAGAAUAUUAUCAUGCAUUAUGUUAUUCUAUUUGGUGUGAUGUUAAUUUCUCCUAUACCAUGUUUGUUAGUAUUGUUGUGAGUAGACGAGCAAGCAACCACGGACCCAGGUACUCAGCAGGUGGAAAAUUCUGAGCAGGAGCUCGUUGAAGGAAAGUUGUGUCCUUGACCACUUUCAUUUAUCCAAUAAUGUUCUCUAUAAUCAUUUUGGCAUGCUUAAACUUAAUUUUGAUGUGACCCAAUAGGUCACCCUAGUUUGAUCAUCUUUAUACCUUGUUAACCACUGAACUUUUUGGGUAGUAUCUGCUAUUGCUAUAUGUGGUUUUGGGUGUUGAGAUAAUUACUAUUCAUGAUCAUGCUUUGUUAUUAUUGUUCUACUCUGAUCAUGAUAAGACUAUUGUGUUAAUUAGAACAUGGAGCUUAACUUGAGAUAAACGUGCCACCACAAGGGUGGAAUGGGACGCCCUUGGCUGACUAAUUAGGAAAGCUAGUGGAGGUCUACCUUACCCCAAAGGGGCAAUGGCGGUAGGGAAGUUGUCGAUGUAGGGAGGUUCUCGGGUUGAUUGUGCUGCGAUGGCUUUUCAGACGGGGGACUCCUAUAUCGCUCUCCUUAGAAACCAUAGCGGGUUUUCUGAAGCUAGUGGAACUUUGUAAAGGCCUUGUAGUGUUACCCUGCCUCGUCUCCUCGAUAGAGAUGAAUGGGAUUUCUAGACCCCUUGGCAAAUGGGUAGCAUGACUUGUGAGUAAAGGGUACAACCUCUGUAGAGUGUAAAACUGGUAUACUACCGUGCUCGCGGUCAUGAGCAGCUCUGGACUCACGCAUGAUUAACUUAUGCAAUUAAACUCAAUUUGUCAUUUACAUCGCAUUAUGGUUUUAUUAUUAAUUUUGAUCUAUUAUUAUUCUGGUUUGGUAUACACUUACAUUUAGUAACUGCUAAUAAAAUUUGACCAACUUAUUAAAAGCAAUGCUCAGCUUUAACCAUUAUUUGUUGACCAGCCUUACACUUCACAUGGGCUCCCACCUUUGGUGAGUUCAUGCACAUUAUUCCCCACAACUUGUUGAGCUAUGAUCUUUUUGUGAGCUCACCCUUGCGAUAUAUAAAACCCCACACAGGUGAAGAACAGGUAGCCCAGGAGGAGGUCUACUACGAGAAGUACGAGCUAGUCUAGGUGGCGUCUCCCAGUCAGCUUUAUGGCGCCAAGGAAUAAUUAUUAGUUCGCUUUAUUGUUAUCAUUUAUUUUUGUAAGACACUUCCGC
This 7107-nucleotide long non-coding RNA is filed under the name Zea mays. RNAcentral describes it as "long non-coding RNA (ZMAY_LNC002750)". The record is from RNAcentral. Lineage: Eukaryota; Viridiplantae; Streptophyta; Magnoliopsida; Poales; Poaceae.